GGAUGAGCCCGCGGCCUAUCAGCUUGUUGGUGAGGUAAUGGCUCACCAAGGCGUCGACGGGUAGCCGGCCUGAGAGGGUGACCGGCCACACUGGGACUGAGACACGGCCCAGACUCCUACGGGAGGCAGCAGUGGGGAAUAUUGGACAAUGGGCGGAAGCCUGAUCCAGCAACGCCGCGUGAGGGAUGACGGCCUUCGGGUUGUAAACCUCUUUCAGCAGGGACGAAGCGAAAGUGACGGUACCUGCAGAAGAAGGACCGGCCAACUACGUGCCAGCAGCCGCGC
This 285-nucleotide ribosomal RNA is filed under the name uncultured Actinomycetales bacterium. RNAcentral's name for it is "partial 16S ribosomal RNA". It matches the Rfam family "Bacterial small subunit ribosomal RNA", at positions 223 to 520 of the family's 1533-position model. Lineage: Bacteria; Bacillati; Actinomycetota; Actinomycetes; Actinomycetales. The record is from RNAcentral.